AACCACCCCAGGCCCUUUGCACCUGCUAUUCCCUCUGUCCAGCAUGCUCUGCCCCAGACAGUUGCAGUGCUAACAUCUUACUUCCUUCAGGUUUUACUCAGAAAUUACUUUCUCAGUGGGGUCUUCCAUGAUCAUCCUAUUUAAGGUUUCAACUACUUUGCCAGCAUUUCACUUUCCCUCCCUUGAUCUUUUCUUCCAAGCACUCACUGACCUCUAACACACUGUAUCUUUUACUUAUUUAUCUUGUUCAGUUUCUGGCUGCCUCACCACAGUGUACAUUCCACAAGGAUAGAGAUUUUGUCUGUUUUGUUGAUUACUGUAGCCCUGGCAUCUUGAGCAGUGCCUGCCACGUGGUGGAAUUAAAUAAAUAUUUACUGAAUGGAUGAGUGGCUUCAUGCUUAAAAGCGAGAAGAGAGACCUUCAUAGAGAAGUAGGAAAAUCAAACGUUGCACAGAUAAAGGGCCAUGGAGAGAGAGAGAGAGAGAGCAAACAAUUAAGGAGCAGCAGUGGCUUCCUGCAGGGGAGACGAAUGCCUUCUGUCCUCUGUGGAAACAGCCUGGCAUUCUUCCAACUGAUGAAUGGCAUGGACCAGGAGCACCAGUUAUUUUCAGCUUCUGAGCAUCCAAAUAAAUAAACAUACAAAUGCGUAACAUAAAAUAAAUUCAAAUUACAAAUGAGAAAAGCAAUCCAGGUAACUGACAGUUUCUGACUUGAUGUGGAGGCUGGGAAAUGCAUCCUUGAACCUUGCAAUGCAGUGAGCCAAGGAGCGAUGAGAGGCCACAUGAAUAACUGGGCCAGUGACAAGACACAUGUCUUCCUCCUUGCUGGUAUACACAAAAUGCCCUGCGCCCGGUGAAUGCUCAAUAGUGGAAGUGACAGAAUUCCAUCACUAUUAAACACAACCAGUGUUGCGGUUGACAGUUGCACUGAAGCAGGUGAAAAAUGAAUAUAGCAGUUCCUGUCUUUGAAGAGUUUGCAGCCUCCUGCAGAGGAUUUACAGGUAAGAAGGACCCAGGCUGGUAGGGCCUCUACCAUCUGGAAAGUGACAAGAGGAAGAGAGAGAAUGAAACAAAAGUAGGCAUUGGCUCUCACCUUUUGCCAGAAGAGACAAACAUUGUUUUCAGUUAUUUUCAUUGGCUCAAUCAAGCCAUGGCAACAAUUGAGUUCAAAAGCAUAGCGAGGUGUCUGGAAGGAAGACAAUCAGAAAAUUUCUGAUGAGCUGCACUGACUACCUUCUGGACAAAAAGGAAGAGAGGCAUUCCAGAUGAGAGAUCUGCAUUAGAAACCCCUUGAAGACCGGAAAGGUAUGCUAUAUUUUUGAAACUGUGAGGAGCUCAGGAAGACUAAAGCCCAAAAAAACUUCACUUAUUCAAUAUU
Callithrix jacchus (white-tufted-ear marmoset) is the source of this 1377-nucleotide long non-coding RNA. RefSeq lists it as uncharacterized. The record is from RefSeq and is a predicted model, not a curated record. NCBI's taxonomy places the organism in Eukaryota, Metazoa, Chordata, Mammalia, Primates, Cebidae.